UACGUAGGGGGCAAGCGUUGUCCGGAAUCAUUGGGCGUAAAGAGCGUGUAGGCGGCUUGGUAAGUCCGCUGUGAAAGUCCAGGGCUCAACCCUGGAAUGCCGGUGGAAACUGUCAAGCUUGAGUCCGGAAGAGGCGAGUGGAAUUCCUGGUGUAGCGGUGAAAUGCGCAGAUAUCAGGAGGAACACCAAUGGCGAAGGCAGCUCGCCGGGACGGUACUGACGCUGAGACGCGAAAGCGUGGGGAGCAAACAGG
RNAcentral lists this ribosomal RNA (253 nucleotides) under uncultured bacterium. RNAcentral describes it as "partial 16S ribosomal RNA". It matches the Rfam family "Bacterial small subunit ribosomal RNA", at positions 524 to 776 of the family's 1533-position model. The record is from RNAcentral.